Molecule: ribosomal RNA, 409 nt
Filed under: bacterium
Lineage: Bacteria
Description: partial 16S ribosomal RNA
Rfam family: Bacterial small subunit ribosomal RNA
Source: RNAcentral
UGGGGAAUAUUGCACAAUGGGCGAAAGCCUGAUGCAGCGACGCCGCGUGAGGGAUGACGGCCUUCGGGUUGUAAACCUAUUUCAGUAGGGUCGAAGCGCAAGUGACGGUACCUGCAGAAGAAGCACCGGCUAACUACGUGCCAGCAGCCGCGGUAAUACGUAGGGUGCGAGCGUUGUCCGGAAUUACUGGGCGUAAAGAGCUCGUAGGCGGUUUGUCACGUCGUCUGUGAAAUCCUAGGGCUUAACCCUGGACGUGCAGGCGAUACGGGCUGACUUGAGUACUACAGGGGAGACUGGAAUUUCUGGUGUAGCGGUGGAAUGCACAGAUAUCAGGAAGAACACCGAUGGCGAAGGCAGGUCUCUGGGUAGUAACUGACGCUGAGGAGCGAAAGCAUGGGUAGCGAACAGG